RNAcentral lists this transfer-messenger RNA (346 nucleotides) under Candidatus Tagabacteria bacterium CG09_land_8_20_14_0_10_41_14. It matches the Rfam family "transfer-messenger RNA". Rfam says of the family: Bacterial tmRNA, also known as 10Sa RNA or SsrA, is named for its dual tRNA and mRNA-like properties. Its role is to liberate the mRNA from a stalled ribosome. The record is from RNAcentral. Lineage: Bacteria; Candidatus Tagaibacteriota. RNAcentral also lists the same sequence under 2 other names.
GGGGAUGAUCGGCAUCGACAAAAAGCCUUUUUCAAAAUCGUGCAUGCCGAGUAUUCUAAAACCUCGUUAAACUUUUAGAAAUCAAAUAAGUGCAAACUUAUUCAAAACUCCUGCUUUAGCAUACGCUUAAAGCACGCUCGCCUGCCGAUUCUCAAUAGACAAUCGCGAGUGUCAUUUUUUGAGAUAGAUAAUUUCUCCUGAUUCGAAGAAAUUAUUAAAAACUAGAAUCACCCUCAAAAAAUUUUUGCCUGGUUUAUAUUUUUUGAGUUAAACAAAUCAGGAUAAGCAUGUAGAUUCAUUUUGAAAAACUUUUUGCACGCGGGUUCGAUUCCCGCCAUCUCCACCC